Molecule: long non-coding RNA, 7487 nt
Organism: Corvus hawaiiensis (hawaiian crow)
Lineage: Eukaryota; Metazoa; Chordata; Aves; Passeriformes; Corvidae
Exons: 2
Source: RefSeq, a predicted model, not a curated record
AAGAAAACUCAGUUACUAACAUGGCAGCUUUGCCUCUCUGCAUGUAGCUUGCAGCAAGGCUGAGCUGGCAUGGAUGGAUUCAGAGGGAAAAGGAGAUAUGGCUGGUUCAUGAUGGGACAGAGUAGUUUCUUCAGCUCAGGGGCUAUGUUCAACGCAACCAAAUGUGUGUGUGCACAUCCCAGACCAGCACACCCUGGCCGGGUGGCACCUUGUUCAGCAGUGAUGCAAAUGGCAAAGUUGGGGAUGCCAACAAUGGUGAAGUGGGGAAGCAGUGGCAUGAGUGGGAAGAGAGGAUGACUCUUCGUCUCUCCCUUCAUGGGCACAGCUGGUUUAUGGAGAAAGAGAGGCUGACUGCAAGCAGCACUGGCUUUUUUCAAAAGGAAAGGCAGCUUUUGUGUGCCAGUAGAGGUAUAGCUGGGUAAAGUCAGUGGUGUUCUACUAUAGGAAUGUUGGGUGCAAGGGGCAAGGUCACUGCUCCUAACAGGCAGAGAAUAGCCAGCGGAUGCUCUCCAAACUGAACUUUGCAUUUCUGCCCACUCAAACAUGCCUGGUCUGCUAUCAAGACAGAUGUGGAGCUGAUUCCCCGCUCCUUCAUGAGACCCUGUCUCAAUCCUGGUACUCCUCUAGGGCUACAUGGCAGCUCUCAAGGCAGGAAAGCAGCCAGCUCAAGUCCAAGGGGAUGCCAGGAUGGGGUGACAGGGGCCCCAGCCUGGGGUCCCCAGGAUUCCCAGCAGCCUCUGAAGGCAUGUGUGGCAGCAGCAGCUCUCAAGUGCAACCCAAGCACUGGGGAGAAGGAGUAGCUGCCCCCCACAGCUGUCUUGCACCUUGUGUGUGGCCUUAUGUCUGACCCAUCUCAGCUGUGUGGCACUGCACAGCAGCCAGCCAUGCCCUUCCUGGGGUCUCUGUAUCCAGAGCAGCUUCCCUACACCUGAACCCAGCAGCCCCUGCAUCCCAGGUCCACCAGCAUCUCCAGUGCAGCUCUGCAGUCACAGUGACAUGGGAGCUCACGUGCUGAUAAGCAGCAAAGCUGAGGCACCUCACGAGGUCUGCAUUGUCAAAUUGCCACCACUGUCACUACCCCACCUGGCUCAGGCCAGCAUGUCUCUGCUGCAGCCAUGACUUCUGACAGCAAGGGGACAAUCCUUGAAAUCUAAGGCACUGCAGCUCUAUUGGAUUUGGGCAGAUGUGCAACUGUAUUAUUAAAAUUGUCUUAACAUGCUCAGAUGUCAAAUGCUAAGUACAGUAACUGACAUGGGGCAUUUCUCUUCUGUGCUGCAUGUCUGAGUAGGCAGAGGGAAAUCUGCCUUGAAUAUUGAGCAAUUAUCACAGAACAAGCAACAUCCUGCAAAAAAACACUGUUUGAGAUUCUUCUUAUCUAGGCAUGAUUUAUGGCUCCUGAGCUUUACUCUAUCCUUGGAAACAUACGGCUUCAACAAAAUAAAAUUAACUUUUCCAAAGAGAGGCUGGUAUCACUUUCUGUCACAGUUGCAAAUGAGAUAAUACAACCUAGGGUGCCCUGACUAAUCAAGAAAACACCAGCAGCACAGUUGUUCCUUGUAACAGCUUGACAUCUGAUAUUAAUGGCUCUUUUGUGCUUUUUAUACACCUUUCCUCUCACAAAGCACUGUAAGACUCAAUAAUUAAGCUGCAGAAUAAGUAGGUAAAAGCUGAGAUGUGGCAGGCAGUGAAUAUGACUGUGUGUGCCAGGAGAGGGGAUUGUUUUACUCCAGUGAGAUGCACUGGAGUGCAGCAUGAUAGCCAGUUUUUAUACAGAAAUCACAGCGCAGCAGCACAGUUCUUCACAGCUCACAGGGAGAAACUCCCUCUUGUGCAGGGCCAGUCCCUGGCCUGGCUUCAUCACAACUUCCUUACCUUUCCUGAAAGGGCUAAUUAUACUCCACUGAAAGUAUAGAGAUCCUGUGAUGAGUAAACCAGAUGUUGGUUUUGCAGGUACCUGUGUUUUGCAGGUACCUCUCUUUGGGCAGAUGAAGCCCUGCAACUGAAUCUGCAUCUGUCUCAAGUCUGCAGGAGCUGGUGAGGCACUGGUACAUGUUGCCUGGAGAAGCUGUGGAUGCCCCAUCACUGGAAAUGGUCAAGGUCAAGUUGGCAGGUUGGCUGGGGCUUUGAUCAGCGUGGUCUAGUGGAAGAUGUCCCUGCCUUAACCAGAUCACCCAGAGGCUCGACAGAGGGGUAUCUGCACCUCGAGGUGACCCUUGUCACUGCUGCAUCCACCCUGGGGCUGGGCAUCCAUAAUGGCAGAGGAACUCAGUAACCCUGGCAGGACAGCCCCUCAGUCUCAGGCCCUCUGGGUCACACCUCUGCUGCCACUGCACGUUUUGGAGCUACUCACCUUGUGUGGAACUCCAUCAGCAGCUCUGUCCCUCCCUCUUGUCAGGGAGCUGCUCCUGCUCAGCAGGGAAUCGAGCCGUACUUGCUCAAAGGUUAUCUCUCCAGCAUAGUCAGUGCCAGAAAAUGGAAAAGGUACUGGAAAAUAAAUACCAGUGCAACUCGUUUGGCCAGGAGGGAUUGUCUGGGAGCAAGGAGUGUGAGGUGUGUCUGGGGUGUGUGUGUAUUAGUGAGGUUGCAAUACUGUGGUUUGGCAUGGGAUGACUUCUCUCUGCUGCACAGACUUCUGGGCUGUUGGACUUACUUUGGUGGAUCUCACACUGGGUAACAUCUGCUAUUGAUUUCCACAGAACCGGUGUUUCCAGCCAAGCAGAAACGCCUAAAGACUUUCCAGUGGUGUUAGUGUUACAGCUGGUUGGAAAAUCUCCAAGGAAUUAUAUUCUGUCAGAACAGGGUGAUUUAUCAUACAGGGCUCUUUUCACAGCAAUUUACCAUUUUUAGUGGAAAAUAUUUUUCAGGUCCAGGUUGGAACAAGGACAGGAAACAUCCAAGAGCAGCCCAGGAUCUGGAUUAGUGGUUUGGAUGUGGACAUUCAGCACCCACUCCUGCCUUACAGCAGGUUUGGCAUGUGAACGUGGCUCUCUCCAUUUCAGAAGCAUAUCCUUCAGCCAUGGCCCGUCUUAGCAUAUGUGUCAUUUUCUUCCAGGGUAAAAAAACCCUGUCUCCUUUCCAAAAAUGCUGAAAUUGUGACAAUAUUCCUGAGAGGUAGAAGCCAUUUUCUACUGAGCCAGCAGCACAGUUGCAUGCAAAACUGAAGCAGAGGCAUCGAGUUCUUCUGCAGUAUCACCUUUAUGAAUAAGUUGAUGUUUUAAGCUAAUUUAAUAUGGUGAAGAAUGGACUUCUGCAGCAGAUGGCAUUGUGUGACUUUUCCAAAUCCCCAGUACCUGCUGGUAAAAGGUGGUUAUGGACCAAUGCCAGGAGCUGCAGCAGGUGGGCAGGACUGUGCUGUUGGGCAGGGGAGGAAAUGUGGAAGAAGAACAUCAGACCAGAUAAAAGGAAGAAAUUUCUUUUAAAAUGAGGGUAAAUCACAGGGUAAACCCUGGUACAGGUUGUCUAGAGAGGUAGUAGGUGCUCCAGCCCUGGAAACAUUCAAGGUUAGGCUGGAUGGGACUCUGAGUGACCUGAUCUGGUUGAAGAUGUCCCAGGUUGAACUAUGUAGCCUUUAAAGGUCCCUUGCAACCCAAACAUUCUACGAUUCUGUGAAACCAAGUGGCCACCAGCUAAACAGUGGACAGUAAGGGCUGAGAAAUGGUCUCUGCUUGAUUCUGACACCAACCAUCUGCUGAGAUGCCUGAAGCAGCUCCAGAGGGAUGAUACAAUAGACUCAUGGAGACAUCACUUUCUGGAUUUAUGUUAUCUAAAUGUAGGCAUUUAAAAUUUCUUCUCUGCAGGCACAGGAGUCCCUUUGUUCAGUACAAAUGCCUCACCUGGCUUUCAGCUGGGCACCUCAGCUGGGUGCCUAAAGCUGGGACCAAUAAAGCUUAGCUCGGGUUGGUGGCUGAUGGGGCUUGUCCCACCCUUGAAGACCCUUGAGGGGUCCACUGACAUCGUUCACCCAGAUGAUGGUACAGGUGGGAUGCUCUUUCCCACAGCCCCUUGGAAGGCCCUUGGGUCACUAAAUCCUUCUAUGCAGGUAGGACUAAUAUCAGGGUCUGAUGCCUCCUGAGUGCCGCUGGAAAUGACCCACAGCGCUCACAGCCACAUUUGGGUGGUGGUGGGGGUUGUGUGUGGCCCUAUUGAAACAGAAGGGAUUAACCACUUUGUGCACCUCAGCCACAUGGCUUGGCCUGACCUGUGUGUAAUGAAUCCAGCCCCCAAAGAACUUCGCCCACAGUUUUUUGAGUUCACGGAAAACAUGCGUAUUUGUGGGGUGGAUGAGUUCACCCCUCACCCUCAGGCACCUGGAGGAGUUAACUGUACACCUUUGCUCUGGAGAUGACAGCCUGCACUUGAAAACACCACUGCAUUCUGCAAAAAUGAGACCCCAUUUCCAGCUGUGAACAGAUGCAGCUGUUCAACACUGAGCACAUUCCCUCAACACGUUCUGCUGGCACUGCUGUGACUCCUGUGGACACAGCACCGGGGGCUUUGGACCUCUGUGGCUGUGGGGAUUUGCACUCAGGUCUACUAACCAGAGCUGGUAAUGAUGCUUCCAACUGAACUGCUCCUGUUCCUGUUUUUCACAAAAAAUGUAUUUUUGUUGUUUUGUUUUUUCAUCAGGAAAAAAAAAAGAAAAAAUGCCUAGGGGUUACCUUAAAUCUAAUACCAUGUUUUCAGCCAAUCUUUUCAGCAUCACUGUGCUGUAUUGCAGAUGUGAGGGCAGUUUCAUCUUCUGCGAGCUAAACGCUGCAUCCCAACUGUGAUUCCCCUGACGUGGAGGAUGGAGGCGGAUCUGAGUCCCUCAGGAGAUGAUUCAGGGCAGAUGUCACCCUCUGGUGGAGUCUCUGCCUUUCUCCACGGGUUGCAGAGGAAGCCAGGAGAGAUUAGCUAGGUCAUUUUGCAAGGCAAAUUUAAUGCCUGUAUUCAGGCAGCAUCAUCUCCCCAGCCCAGCCCUUCUGGUGCUUUCAGAGAUGCUGGGACAUAUCGGCAUGGGAGAGGAGGUCUGGGCUGAAGCUAAGCCCUCCUCCAUGGGUCUGCACACUGUGGCAGCAAACUGCUGGGAAUCUCCUUCCUGGGCAAGUCAACACUGAAUGUUGGAGGUCAUCGCUCCUAAGACACUUCCAUUUUGACUGAAAUCACGUUUUGUUGCAUUUGUUAUAUCUAGUUUUUGGCAACGUUUUAUUGCCUGGAUAUACUGAUACUCUGAAGACCAGCCCCAGGCAGGAGGAGAAGGAGGAGAAAGAGGGCACUUUCCUGCAGGUCAGAAACCUUCCAGUUUUGCUGCAAGGGCCUGAAAAAAGCCUGGGAAAAAAAACCACAUGGAAGAUGUGGAGGGUUUUAAUUUAGCAGGAAAUACAAAUGCAGUGAUCAUCUUCCUGUAUAUAUUGAAAAGCUAACAAAAAAUCAAUGAUAUUUACAUGAGCUCAUUAGCAUUAUGAAUGAUGUUAUUUAAAACUUAUGUAAUUCUAGCCUGGGCUUGUAGAGCCUCUGCUCCUCUUCCCAGGUGCCUUGCCAGGUAACUCCAAUCAUGAUCUAAUUAAAAGUUUUUGGGGGAGUUUCCAUGCUCCCACAUUGCCUAUAAUUUGGUCUAAUCUAGUGCGUAGUGCUGAAAUGAAGUCGUGCAGGUGGGUGCACUUCAGUUAAUGUACACUUGGUAGAGUGGAUCCACUGAUGGCUCUGCACAGGGGUCCAGGGCUGGUCACCAUUUCUUCCCAUGCUAUGGCACAAGGAGCCUGAGGUGAUGCUGGGAAGAAGCAAAGGAGACCCCGGCACAAGCGGAAAUCCAACCCUACAGCUGUGGGCUUGCUCGGGCCAUGAGUGGGCAGCCAGUCUCUGCUGGCAGUGGCACACCACUCUGCUGGCCACCCUGCCCUGCUCAUGGCUUCUUGGCUCCAACCAGGAGGCUGGGAGUGCCCACGCUCCCAGUUGAUGGUCAUGGGGCACACCAGGGUGUCUCCCUGUGCUCCAUGAGGAGGGGAGGAACCUGGGGAGGCUUGGGCUUAGCCCAUCCAGGUGUCUCCCCAUGGAUGUGCUGCCCAUGCAGGGCUGCCUACCCUUAUCCCAGCCAUGGCCCUUUCCCAGGUCCCAGGGGCAUCUCACAGUGGUCACCUAUGGGCUGCAGGGAAGUUUGUCCCGCAGGCACUUGGUGUGGGCAAAUGAGCAUCCCUGUGAUGUGGUCCCUGGUCUGCCACCGCCCUUUGGUCUCUGGUGUGAGAGCAGGAGGCAGGGGGUAGAUGGCAGCAGAGUGGUGGCCCAGGAGGAUGGUCAAAAAUGUCUUGGGGAAUCACCAACACACAGAUGUUUUUGGCUUUGGAUUUCCUGGGGGAAACCAGCUGGAGAGGUGAGGAUGCGGUGUGGGGGAGCAGGGCUGUCCUCUGCCUAUGCUGGGUACCCCCAUCUGAGCACUCACACCACAUGCUGGGUGAAGGAGCAGGGACCAAGAUCAGGGCAGGGCUCACUUGAGGGCACUGUCCUGCCCUGCUGCUCACCCAUGCUCUGGGACUUCUAGGAACUAAAUCAGGAAUUCCACAGCAGCCCUUGGCUUUGAGGAACAGUGCAAGAUUUUUUUCUUUUUCACGAUGUUGCUGGAGACAUGGUCACCCUCCCAGUCCUGAGCUGCUCUGGCACCUGGGGGUGACAGCCACACGACUGGUGAGGGGGCAGGAAGUUCUGCCUGGACCUAAGAUGACAAAUACUUUCAGUGUUUUGGAACUCCCACUGAAAGCAAAUAAAGAAGCACUUUAUACAUGUACAGAUAUUUAUAUAUGUACAUGUAUUUAUUUUAUUGUGAUCACUGCAUCCUGCAGCUGGAGGUAAAGUUACACCCGAAAGGUCUGCAGCUUGUGUUAACUAGUUUUGUCUUUCUGAGGGGAAAUGAUCAUCUUCCCCAGGACAAACUUCCCUGGUGAUCCCUCAGCACUAAGUCACCCUUCUCUGGGGCUGGAUGGGGCAGAGCACAGGACUGGGGGACCUGGGGGGCAAUUUGACUGCUAGAUAAGCUUGGCACUGCCCUGAGCACCCUCAGCACACAUUUCCUCUCACUGCUUCACAGGCCCUUCCUGUUUUUAUGGCUCUCACCAGCUUCUGCUCUGGGGUUUGCCCAGGUCUCCCUGGAAGAGGGAUUAAAUAAUCUCUGUGUUAAAUAAUACAUAGACUAAAACCCACUACAAAGGCACGGAGAGGAAAGACACUUUGAGGACUGGAUUUUGUCCCAAAACACAGGAUGUUCUGCUCCAGAGAUGUGUUCCCCAGCAUGGGGCAAAUGAUGACUCAAACAGGAGGCAGGUUUUAUGCAUUUUAUUUAACCAAUGAAAUUCCUACUGAUAACAAUGAAAGUAAUUUCAGCAAGUAUAAAUGCGAUACAGUUUUAAACAAACCCCAUUGUUCCGUACCUAUAAAUAGAUUUUUCAAAACCUCAUAAAAAGUGCAGAUUUAUGAAUUGCUGUUAAAAUGUUAAUACAUGAUUCCUUUGUUUAAAAAUG